UAGCAUAUCAAUAAGCGGAGGAAAAGAAACCAACCCGGGAUUGCCCUAGUAACGGCGAGUGAAGCGGCAAGAGCUCAAAUUUGAAAGCUGGCUCCUUCGGGGUCCGCAUUGUAAUUUGCAGAGGAUGCUUCGGGAGCGGUCCCCAUCUAAGUGCCCUGGAACGGGCCGUCAUAGAGGGUGAGAAUCCCGUAUGGGAUGGGGUGCCCGCGCCCGUGUGAAGCUCCUUCGACGAGUCGAGUUGUUUGGGAAUGCAGCUCUAAUUGGGUGGUAAAUUUCAUCUAAAGCUAAAUAUUGGCCGGAGACCGAUAGCGCACAAGUAGAGUGAUCGAAAGAUGAAAAGCACUUUGAAAAGAGAGUUAAACAGCACGUGAAAUUGUUGAAAGGGAAGCGCUUGCGAUCAGACUCGCUCGCGGGGUUCAGCCGGCCUUCGGGCCGGUGUACUUCCCCGCGGGCGGGCCAGCGUCGGUUUGGGCGGCCGGUCAAAGGCCCCUGGAAUGUAACGCCUCUCGGGGCGUCUUAUAGCCAGGGGUGCCAUGCGGCCUGCCCGGACCGAGGAACGCGCUUCGGCUCGGACGCUGGCAUAAUGGUCGUAAGCGACCCGUCUUGAAACACGGACCAAGGAGUCUAACAUCUACGCGAGUGUUCGGGUGUCAAACCCGUGCGCGCAGUGAAAGCGAACGGAGGUGGGAACCCCUCGGGGUGCACCAUCGACCGAUCCUGAUGUCUUUGGAUGGAUUUGAGUAAGAGCGUAGCUGUUGGGACCCGAAAGAUGGUGAACUAUGCCUGAAUAGGGCGAAGCCAGAGGAAACUCUGGUGGAGGCUCGCAGCGGUUCUGACGUGCAAAUCGAUCGUCAAAUUUGGGUAUAGGGGCGAAAGACUAAUCGAACCAUCUAGUAGCUGGUUCCUGCCGAG
Molecule: ribosomal RNA, 912 nt
Filed under: Penicillium westlingii
Lineage: Eukaryota; Fungi; Ascomycota; Eurotiomycetes; Eurotiales; Aspergillaceae
Description: LSU rRNA
Rfam family: Eukaryotic large subunit ribosomal RNA
Source: RNAcentral